AUAAGUAUAAUUAUUAACUUUUAAAUUAUAGUUGGAUUGGAGGGAGAAAAGUCGCAUUCAAAGAGUACACUUUAAUUUGUAUAGUGUUCCCUCCACCUUUUUAUUUUACCUCCCUUAAACUUUUAUGGAUUAGUUAUCAUCACUUUUGUCCUCCAUUAUCUUCAUAUUUCAAUCUUCUUAACUUAAACAAAUCUUCACCUUCUUCUUCUUCUUCUUCUCCUUUUUCUAGCAAGUACACACACAGAGUACUAACUGAACUUUUCGUCAGCUCGAGUUUGCUGUAUGCUGGACUUAGCUUAACUGAAACUGUAACUCUGUAAGCAGUAUUGCUGGGCUGCUGGCUAUUCAUGCCGUGUUUCCAUCUUGGUUGAUGAGUUGUGAUGGAAGAAUAUAGAAAACAUUCCACUGAGUUUCCUACCAUUACCAGAUUGACAUUGCUAAGAUCAUUAGCAAGGCUCUCAUGGUCUGAACUCUGUAAAAGGGACUUGAAAAUGUCCUUGGGAGCCAAAGGCACCAGAGAGAGGAGUAGAAGGGAGAUGAUGAUGAUCUAUUCAAGUUGCACAGGACAGGAACUUGUUAUGUGGCAUGUCAACACAACCGUCAUCUGCUAUUUGUAGUGACUGCGAAGUUGCUACGAUAUCCUCAUGCAUUGUGGAUA
Chenopodium quinoa (quinoa) is the source of this 658-nucleotide long non-coding RNA. RefSeq lists it as uncharacterized. The transcript is spliced from 3 exons. Lineage: Eukaryota; Viridiplantae; Streptophyta; Magnoliopsida; Caryophyllales; Amaranthaceae. The record is from RefSeq and is a predicted model, not a curated record.